AUUGAACGCUGGCGGCAUGCUUUACACAUGCCAGUCGAGCGGCAGCACGGGGGCAACCCUGGUGGCGAGCGGCGAACGGGUGAGUAAUACAUCGGAACAUGCCCAGUCGUGGGGGAUAACACUUCGAAAGGAGUGCUAAUACCGCAUACGUCCUGAGGGGGAAAGCGGGGGAUCGCAAGACCUCGCGCGAUUGGAGUGGCCGAUGUCAGAUUAGCUAGUUGGUGGGGUAAAGGCCUACCAAGGCAACGAUCUGUAGCUGGUCUGAGAGGAUGAUCAGCCACACUGGGACUGAGACACGGCCCAGACUCCUACGGGAGGCAGCAGUGGGGAAUUUUGGACAAUGGGGGCAACCCUGAUCCAGCCAUUCCGCGUGAGUGAAGAAGGCCUUCGGGUUGUAAAGCUCUUUCGGCAGGAACGAAACGGUGAGCUCUAACAUAGCUUGCUAAUGACGGUACCUGAAGAAGAAGCACCGGCUAACUACGUG
This 484-nucleotide ribosomal RNA is filed under the name uncultured bacterium. Its description in RNAcentral is "partial 16S ribosomal RNA". It matches the Rfam family "Bacterial small subunit ribosomal RNA", at positions 30 to 507 of the family's 1533-position model. The record is from RNAcentral.